CUACGGAGGCAGCAGUAAGGAAUAUUGGGCAAUGGACGCAAGUCUGACCCAGCCAUGCCGCGUGCAGGAUGACAGCCCUACGGGUUGUAAACUGCUUUUAUACGGGAAAAAUUCCCCGGUCGUGAAUCGGGGUUGAUGGUACCGUAAGAAUAAGCAUCGGCUAACUCCGUGCCAGCAGCCGCGGUAAUACGGAGGAUGCAAGCGUUAUCCGGAUUCAUUGGGUUUAAAGGGUGCGUAGGCGGAAUGAUAAGUCAGUGGUGAAAUCCUACAGCUUAACUGUAGAACUGCCAUUGAUACUGUUGUUCUUGAGUACAUUUGAAGUGGGCGGAAUGUGUCAUGUAGCGGUGAAAUGCAUAGAGAUGACACAGAACACCGAUCGCGAAGGCAGCUCACUAAACUGUAACUGACGCUGAGGCACGAAAGCGUGGGGAUCAAACAGGAUUAGAUACCCCAGUAGUC
Molecule: ribosomal RNA, 459 nt
Filed under: uncultured bacterium
Lineage: Bacteria
Description: partial 16S ribosomal RNA
Rfam family: Bacterial small subunit ribosomal RNA
Source: RNAcentral